This is a non-coding RNA of Ornithorhynchus anatinus (platypus), 137 nucleotides long. NCBI's taxonomy places the organism in Eukaryota, Metazoa, Chordata, Mammalia, Monotremata, Ornithorhynchidae. The record is from Rfam.
CCCCUCUCAGGAUCACACCUGGAGAGUUUCCAGGACUCUACCAGUCUCGAUUAUGGGAGGGAGAGUCAAGCAGAGGCCUGUCCAUUCCAUUCCUAGCUUGGCAGUAGCUAGUGAGUGGAGGGCAAUCUGCUACAAGU